Molecule: ribosomal RNA, 407 nt
Filed under: uncultured bacterium
Lineage: Bacteria
Description: bacterial SSU rRNA
Rfam family: Bacterial small subunit ribosomal RNA
Source: RNAcentral
GAUGAACGCUGGCGGUAUGCCUAACACAUGCAAGUCGUACGAGAGUUUUUAACUCUAGUGGCGGACGGGUGAGUAACACGUGAGAAUUUGCCUUUAGGGAGGGGGGACAACAAUUGGAAACGAAUGCUAAUACCCCAUAUGCUUUCGAGUGAAAUGGAUUUUAUCCGCCUAGAGAGAAGCUCGCGGCUGAUUAGCUUGUUGGUAAGGUAAGAGCUUACCAAGGCGACGAUCAGUAUCUGGUUUUGAGAGGACGAUCAGACACACUGGAACUGAGACACGGUCCAGACUCCUACGGGAGGCAGCAGUGGGGAAUUUUCCGCAAUGGGCGAAAGCCUGACGGAGCAAUACCGCGUGAGGGAAGAAUGCCUAUGGGUGUAAAGCUCUUUUGUCCAGGGAAGAAACAGCAG